RNAcentral lists this long non-coding RNA (731 nucleotides) under Trifolium pratense (red clover). RNAcentral describes it as "long non-coding RNA (TPRA_LNC008735)". Lineage: Eukaryota; Viridiplantae; Streptophyta; Magnoliopsida; Fabales; Fabaceae. The record is from RNAcentral.
AACUAUUCAUAAGUUGGACUUGCUACUUAUACUACUCCUCAUGUGUCAUGAACCAAGCCCAAUUGGCUUAGGCCCAUGCCUCUCACGCCCAUAAGCCCAAAACAAUGGUUCUCGCGUCUAAUAACUUACGUUCGGCUAAAUAAUUAUUCGUCGCUCACUAAAAUAAUAAAAGCCAAUUAAUAAAUAAAAUAACAUUUAAUAAAAUAUACGAAUACGAAAAAUGGGUCGUUACACCUUCCACUAAUAAAAUCCAACUGAAGGUAUAACAAUUUAUGUAUAGGCUGAGAUGUUUUUCCUAUAUACCACCCAAACUCUUUAUAUACCAUUAAAAUUAUAUCAAAAGACUAGUCAUGCUUAUACUAUAAUUCUAUCUUGGUAGAAAUUAAAGUUUCAUCCAAAACUAAAAUAAAGAUUCUUCUUCUAAGAAGUUCAUAGGAUUAAUAUAUACCUACUAUAUAUUCUCCACUAUUCCAAAGUGAACCACUCAACUUAAACCACAACACCAUUUCGAUAUUAAAACCUCCACUUAUAUUGUUUUACUCUCCUCAAAACUUAUUAUUUACUAUAUCAUUAUUUGAAGCUCAACUAUUCAUACUUACUUAGAUAUCUUCUCUUAACCAUACUAUCCAAUAGAAAUUCUUUUGUCAACUAUAGUUCUUACAACUAACCCUAAAUCUACUCACUUUUUCUUUUCUAAAAAAAAAUAAAAUCUACUCUUUUUUUUUUUUUUU